RNAcentral lists this long non-coding RNA (3418 nucleotides) under Canis lupus familiaris (dog). RNAcentral's name for it is "lncRNA (ENSCAFG00000056913.1)". The record is from RNAcentral. Lineage: Eukaryota; Metazoa; Chordata; Mammalia; Carnivora; Canidae.
UUUUUCUACAGUAUAUGAUUUAUUAAAAUAUUUUUGUAUUUUUACUUCUACCGCAUGUGAUUUAUAAAAAUACCUACUUCACACACUAAAAAUCAACACAUAAAAUAUGUUCACAUAUAAAUCCCAGAAUGGCAGAAAUUUAAAUAUUUUAAGCUAAUUUUUCCUACUAAUGCAAUUUUUCCUAUCAAUGCAUUAUUAGCAUUUAACUAAGAAUUUCAUUUAAUUUUGUGGUGGUAAAAAUACUAAGAAUGGCUUUCCCCUGAAACUUUGUUUUUCUUAAUUCUGCUUUUUAAAAAAUCUAUGAAAAUGCUGGGGGCAAAAAAAUCACAUUAUAGACAUGUAUACAAAAUCACAUGUUCACAGAAUCCAAUUAUAUACAUACCUAAUUGUACAGAAUUUUUAAGAGCUAAUCUUUCUGAUGUAUUCUAGAGAGAAAUUUUCUAAAAGUUUGAACAAAAUUUUUCUCAAGAAAAGCACCUAGGUUUACUUUUGCUACAUUUUAGUGACCUCCAAAGAAUAUAAUUAAAUCUAAAAACUAUUUUUUUAUGUUUUUACUAAAUGCCUAAUAUUUUCCCAGAAGUAAGAUAAUUACUAGGAAGAAUACAAGAGAAGAAUAAGUUCCUGCCUUGGCAAAAAUUAAAUUCUAGUCAAUGACAGAAAAGUAAAAGUAUAGAAAGCAAUUCUAGGAGAACACAAAGCAAAAUACCCAGUAGGAUUAAGUUAGGAGGGUUAGCCUCUUCUGUAGUGCUAAUCGGUAGCAAAAGAGGAUGGGACUGGCAUCAAUAGGAUUCCAAGUUUUCAUACAUGUCAGAUGACAGGACUUGUGGUUAGACAUUGUCAAAUUAAAGGAUUCUUACUUGAAAUACUCUAAAAACACAUAUGAGUAGAAAAGUUCAAUUUUCUAAAAGCCUUUUUUUUUUUAGUCUGAGGUUACCUUACCAGUCAAAAUAUGGUCUGCAACAUGGCCCUGGCUCAAAGUUGUCCAGUAGCUAACAUACUGAGUACCUGCAGUAUCACUUCAAUACCCAAUAGGCAGUAUGUGUGAUCAUGGUAAAAUGCACAAACAAGUUGAUACCACAUGCGUCUUCAGGUCUCAACAAACUGCAAGCAACACAUACGAAAUACUUAAUACUAUCCUGGUUCACUACCAAUAAAAUAUGGAGCUUGCAGUUCAAACCUUUGAAUUUUAUUCUGGAGUUUUCCACUAAUUAUCUGUGCAAACCCUGACAAGUCACUUCUCUAAGGCUAACCUGUGUUAUUCCUAAGGAACUUCUUACUCCGUAAUUCUAACACAUUAUGUGCUCAGCUUCCUCCCCACCUUCCUGAAUGGAAAGGACAAAUGAGAGUGGAAGAUGUGAUAUCUCCAACAUAACCAAGUCAAGAGGAAAAGGUUCUGGCAGCCAGACAUCCAAAGGAUUUCAGACAACAGAAGCAGAAAGUGGUUGUUUAUGCCCUAAUAAGAAACAGAGAAGAUGAAAACUGACCUACGUCAAAGUUGCUCUGAAGAAGGAAGCCAUUUCAGAAGACUAGAGUCUCUAAAAUAGUAUGAUUCUAUAUUUGGUUAUUUAAGAAUUCUGGAUUUCCCCAGAGGACUUUUAACUGGGUUUUCAUCAUCAGAAAGCAUUUAUUGAAUGCUUAAUUUAAUUGUAUGAAUUGCUACACCAAAAAGACUUAUUACAUAGUCAUGGUCCUUGGAUCUCUGGGGCUUUUAAAAUCUGGGUCAAACAACACUAAAAGGGACAUGUUCAAGAACAUACAGAUAGGAGACUAAAUAUAUUUAACCAAAAGGUUUUUUAAAUUCAAUUUUUGGAAUAUUUCCAUCCCAGACUACUAAUUUGAAGAGAGAAAAAAAACCUUUCUGAACUAAAUAGAAAAUAAUUUUUUUAAAAAAUAAAAUUUUACAAAUAAAUUCAAUAAUGAGGCACCUGGGUGGCACAGUGGGUUAAAAGAAUCAGACUCUUGGCUUCAGCUCAAGUCAUGAUCUCAGGGUUGUAAGAUCCAGUCCGUGUUGGGCCUGUGAUCAGCAAGGAGUCUGCUUGAGAUUCUCCCUCUCUCUCUCUGUCCCUCCUGCCCAUCCUCUAAAAUAAAUCCUUAAGAAAAUAAUUUAAUAAUAGGAUAUCAACACUGAAAACAUAAGAAAGGCCAAGUCUAAGAAUCUGCCUCAUAAACAAAAAGUGAAUCACUGCAGGGGAAAAAAUGAGCUUUACAAGGGUCUAUUUAACAGGCGUUUGCAUUCAGAUUAGAGGUGGUGACCUGAAGCUGAAUUCCCUGCUCUUCAUGAUGAUAUUUCUAUCAUUUCAGGGUAAUACUAGAUAAUGGCCGACCACAGAUGAUUAUGUUAACUGAAGACAAUUAUGUUAUACAUUGAUGAAGAAUUGGAGAAAAUCUCUUAGAUUUACCUGCAUGUUAAAAUCAAGGCCUUUUACUGCCUCUGAUGGUAAAAUAGUAAUGCUUGUUAGAAUAUCCUUAAACUGUAAAAAAUAUUUUACAGUUUUAUUUUAUUUUGUUAUUCUAUUAUUAUUUAUUUAUCUAUUUUAUUUUAUUUUAUUUUAUUUUUAUUAUUUUAUUUUUUAUAAUUUAUUUUAUUUUAUUAUUUUAUUUUAUUAUUUAUUUAUUUUAUGCGAGAAAAACAAGCAUAAGAUAAUUUACCACAUGCAGUUCUCUGAUCAUCAUCUAAACUAACUUAAUCAUUAAUCCAGUGGCCCAUCCCUAAUAUUCCAAUAUAAGGAGAUAACUAGGCCAUGCACCUAUCAAUUCUCAUUGCCAAAAACAGCCACAAAUACUAUAUCAUUACUGUUUUGGUAUCCAUCAGAUAUUUAACAAAAAUAUGUUCAAUCUAUUUCUAUAUUUCUUUUACUUUUAUUUUCUAGUACUGACUAUAAAUAUAUGCAGCUACUGUAAUACAUCAAAUAAGGAAUACUCCAGAAAGGAGUAAGAGAAAGGGAAAGUAGAAGAAACCAUCUUAAAUUCUUUUUAAAUCCCAAUAAAGUUAUAAUCACAAAUAGUCAAUUGACAAAACAUCAAUAAACACAACUUCCACUCAUUUCUAUGCAGUUGAGGAAAGCAAGGAAUAUUUCCAAUAAUAUUCAUAAACUAAAAAAAACACCUGUCCUUUUGGCAAUCAUUUCUUUCUAGUUUUUCAAUUCAAUGCCUUCUUUGUCUCUUUAUAGUCUUUGGAUAUUAAAGAAAAAAGGAACAGAUCUAACAUCAUUUGCAAUUGUUCACUGACAAAAUUAACUGUUGAUGAGUUUCAUACUUCUGAAUUCUAUCUCUUUUAUUUAUCAUUAUAAGCUAGGCCUAUCCCACCCACAAGAAAUUUUAGGUAUUGUAGCAGACAGACUGUAAGGCCCUCAAUGAUCUCCACCUCCUGCUAUUUAUGAUCUCAUAAAUUCCUUUCCUCUUACAUGUGGGAAAGACC